Molecule: ribosomal RNA, 489 nt
Filed under: uncultured bacterium
Lineage: Bacteria
Description: bacterial SSU rRNA
Rfam family: Bacterial small subunit ribosomal RNA
Source: RNAcentral
AUCCUGGCUCAGAUUGAACGCUGGCGGCAUGCUUUACACAUGCAAGUCGAACGGUAACAGGUUAAGCUGACGAGUGGCGAACGGGUGAGUAAUGCAUCGGAACGUGCCCAGUCGUGGGGGAUAACGCAGCGAAAGCUGUGCUAAUACCGCAUACGAUCUAUGGAUGAAAGCGGGGGAUCGCAAGACCUCGCGCGAUUGGAGCGGCCGAUGUCAGAUUAGCUAGUUGGUGGGGUAAAGGCCCACCAAGGCGACGAUCUGUAGCUAGUCUGAGAGGACGACCAGCCACACUGGGACUGAGACACGGCCCAGACUCCUACGGGAGGCAGCAGUGGGGAAUUUUGGACAAUGGGCGCAAGCCUGAUCCAGCAAUGCCGCGUGCAGGAAGAAGGCCUUCGGGUUGUAAACUGCUUUUGUACGGAACGAAAAGGUCUGGGUUAAUACCCUGGGCUCAUGACGGUACCGUAAGAAUAAGCACCGGCUAACUACGUG